UACGUAGGGGGCAAGCGUUGUCCGGAUUUAUUGGGCGUAAAGAGCGUGUAGGCGGCCAGACAGGUCCGUUGUGAAAACUCGAGGCUCAACCUCGAGGCGUCGACGGAAACCGUCUGGCUAGAGUCCGGAAGAGGAGUGUGGAAUUCCGUGGUGUAGCGGUGAAAUGCGCAGAUAUCAGGAAGAACACCUAUGGCGAAGGCAGCACUCUGGGACGGUACUGACGCUGAGACGCGAAAGCGUGGGGAGCGAACAGG
This 254-nucleotide ribosomal RNA is filed under the name uncultured bacterium. RNAcentral's name for it is "partial 16S ribosomal RNA". It matches the Rfam family "Bacterial small subunit ribosomal RNA", at positions 524 to 776 of the family's 1533-position model. The record is from RNAcentral.